RNAcentral lists this long non-coding RNA (376 nucleotides) under Manihot esculenta (cassava). RNAcentral describes it as "long non-coding RNA (MESC_LNC009713)". Lineage: Eukaryota; Viridiplantae; Streptophyta; Magnoliopsida; Malpighiales; Euphorbiaceae. The record is from RNAcentral.
AAGAGGACAGUCGGCAGUCAGCGGUGAAACUCAACAAAUCAAUAGGGAGAGAGGGAAAGAGAUAGAUAGGGAGCGAUUCGUGACUUUGUUCAGCAGAUCGACGGGAAAGAGGACACUGAAAGAGGACAAACAGUCGAUGGUCGGCGCCAACACUCAGCAAAUCGACGGGAAGGAGGUUUAUGGUCGACGGUCGAUGAUCGACGAGAAAGAGAUUGACGAUCGACGUGAAAGAGAAAGAGAUUAAUGGGAUUUGAUGAUUGAUUUGUUAGGGAUUCGACUAUGAGAGUGUGGAGACUGGAGAGGCCAGGGGGAGAAAUUGGGAGAAUAGGGGUUCUGGGGGGAGAGAAUCGGGAGAUUGGAGCUUGAACGCCUGGGG